This 492-nucleotide ribosomal RNA is filed under the name uncultured bacterium. RNAcentral describes it as "partial 16S ribosomal RNA". It matches the Rfam family "Bacterial small subunit ribosomal RNA", at positions 29 to 507 of the family's 1533-position model. The record is from RNAcentral.
AGUGAACGCUGGCGGUAGGCCUAACACAUGCAAGUCGAACGGCAGCACAGUAAGAGCUUGCUCUUACGGGUGGCGAGUGGCGGACGGGUGAGGAAUACAUCGGAAUCUACUUUUUCGUGGGGGAUAACGUAGGGAAACUUACGCUAAUACCGCAUACGACCUACGGGUGAAAGCAGGGGAUCUUCGGACCUUGCGCGAUUGAAUGAGCCGAUGUCGGAUUAGCUAGUUGGCGGGGUAAAGGCCCACCAAGGCGACGAUCCGUAGCUGGUCUGAGAGGAUGGUCAGCCACACUGGAACUGAGACACGGUCCAGGCUCCUAAGGGAGGGCGCAGUGGGGAAUAUUGGGCAAUGGGGGGAAACCUGAUCCAGCCAUACCGCGUGGGUGAAGAAGGCCUUCGGGUUGUAAAGCCCUUUUGUUGGGAAAGAAAAGCAGCAGGUUAAUACCCCGCUGUUCUGACGGUACCCAAAGAAUAAGCACCGGCUAACUUCGUG